Molecule: ribosomal RNA, 430 nt
Filed under: Bacteroidota bacterium
Lineage: Bacteria; Pseudomonadati; Bacteroidota
Description: Bacteroidetes bacterium partial 16S ribosomal RNA
Rfam family: Bacterial small subunit ribosomal RNA
Source: RNAcentral
UAGGGAAUCUUCGGCAAUGGGGGGAACCCUGACCGAGCAACGCCGCGUGAGUGAAGAAGGUUUUCGGAUCGUAAAGCCCUGUUGUUAAGGAAGAACGAGUGUGAGAAUGGAAAGUUCAUGCUGUGACGGUACUUAACCAGAAAGGGACGGCUAACUACGUGCCAGCAGCCGCGGUAAUACGUAGGUGGCAAGCGUUGUCCGGAUUUAUUGGGCGUAAAGCGAGCGCAGGCGGUCAAUUAAGUCUGAUGUGAAAGCCCCCGGCUCAACCGGGGAGGGUCAUUGGAAACUGGUUGACUUGAGUGCGGAAGGGGAGGGUGGAAUUCCGUGUGUGGCGGGGAAAUGCGUAGAUAUAUGGAGAAACACCGGUGGCGAAAGCGGCUCUCUGGUCUGUAACUGACGCUGAGGCUCGAAAGCGUGGGGAGCGAACAGG